UCAUUUCAUUUUCCCUUGUCAGGUAAUUUUACAUCUAACACGAAGAGGGUGUCUGAACGAUAACAAACAGCUGGAGAAGAGAAAAAUGGCCAAGUCACUCCACAGUGGAGCAUCCUAAUGACAAAGCCGAUCUCCAAAACAGAUUGUAGACUUUGCUUGAGAAGAUGCUGCUGCACUCAACUGAAUGAUUUUCUUUCUUUGUUUCAUUUCAUUCAAAGGUAACCCAGACGGACUCCUCCAACCAUGGCCUCGAGGCAACUUCACUGAGCUAGGCUCAGGGUAGAGAAACAGGAUCUUUGGCACAUCAACUUCUUUCUUUUCCAGGUACAAAUGAUCCAUGGUGAAUCCUUGUCUAUGUUGCAAAUUAUUUCUCCCCAAAU
This 380-nucleotide long non-coding RNA is filed under the name Fukomys damarensis (Damara mole-rat). RNAcentral describes it as "lncRNA (ENSFDAG00000021566.1)". Lineage: Eukaryota; Metazoa; Chordata; Mammalia; Rodentia; Bathyergidae. The record is from RNAcentral.